Molecule: ribosomal RNA, 407 nt
Filed under: uncultured bacterium
Lineage: Bacteria
Description: partial 16S ribosomal RNA
Rfam family: Bacterial small subunit ribosomal RNA
Source: RNAcentral
AUUGAACGCUGGCGGCAGGCCUAACACAUGCAAGUCGAGCGGGGCGGCGGACGGGUGGGUAAUGCCUAUGAAUCUGCCUGGGAGUGGGGGAGGGCGACCGGAAACGGGCGCUAAUACAGCAUACUAUCAGACGAGCCUAGGUGGGAUUAGCUAGGUGGUGGGGUAAGGGCCUACCAAGGCGACGAUCCGUAGCUGGUCUGAGAGGAUGAUCAGCCACACUGGAACUGAGACACGGUCCAGACUCCUACGGGAGGCAGCAGUGGGGAAUAUUGGACAAUGGGCGAAAGCCUGAUCCAGCCAUGCCGCGUGUGUGAAGAAGGUCUUCGGGUUGUAAAGCACUUUAAGUUGGGAGGCGUUACCAGCAGAAGAAGCACCGGCUAACUCCGUGCCAGCAGCCGCGGUAAUAC